UGGGGAAUAUUGCACAAUGGGCGCAAGCCUGAUGCAGCCAUGCCGCGUGUGUGAAGAAGGCCUUCGGGUUGUAAAGCACUUUCAGCGGGGAGGAAGGCGGUGAGGUUAAUAACCUCAUCGAUUGACGUUACCCGCAGAAGAAGCACCGGCUAACUCCGUGCCAGCAGCCGCGGUAAUACGGAGGGUGCAAGCGUUAAUCGGAAUUACUGGGCGUAAAGCGCACGCAGGCGGUCUGUCAAGUCGGAUGUGAAAUCCCCGGGCUCAACCUGGGAACUGCAUUCGAAACUGGCAGGCUAGAGUCUUGUAGAGGGGGGUAGAAUUCCAGGUGUAGCGGUGAAAUGCGUAGAUAUAUGGAGGAACACCAGUGGCGAAGGCGGCUCUCUGGUCUGUAACUGACGCUGAGGCUCGAAAGCGUGGGGAGCAAACAGG
RNAcentral lists this ribosomal RNA (429 nucleotides) under Chloroflexota bacterium. RNAcentral describes it as "Chloroflexi bacterium partial 16S ribosomal RNA". It matches the Rfam family "Bacterial small subunit ribosomal RNA", at positions 355 to 776 of the family's 1533-position model. The record is from RNAcentral. Lineage: Bacteria; Bacillati; Chloroflexota.